This 383-nucleotide ribosomal RNA is filed under the name uncultured eukaryote. RNAcentral describes it as "partial 18S ribosomal RNA". It matches the Rfam family "Eukaryotic small subunit ribosomal RNA", at positions 592 to 976 of the family's 1831-position model. The record is from RNAcentral.
CAAUAGCGUAUAUUAAAGUUGUUGCAGUUAAAAAGCUCGUAGUUGGAUUUCUGGUGGGAGCGAUCGGUCUGGCGCUUAGCGCGAGUACUUGCAUCGUCUCCGGCCAUCCUUGGGGAGAGUCUGUUUGGCAUUAAGUUGUCGGGCAGAGGAUCCUCAUCGUUUACUGUGAAAAAAUUAGAGUGUUCAAAGCAGGCUUAUGCCGUUGAAUAUAUUAGCAUGGAAUAAUAAGAUAGGACUUUGGUACUAUUUUGUUGGUUUGCGCACCAAAGUAAUGAUUAAUAGGGACAGUUGGGGGUAUUCGUAUUCCGUUGUCAGAGGUGAAAUUCUUGGAUUUACGGAAGACGAACUACUGCGAAAGCAUUUACCAAGGAUGUUUUCAUUAA